Anser cygnoides (Swan goose) is the source of this 2281-nucleotide long non-coding RNA. NCBI's taxonomy places the organism in Eukaryota, Metazoa, Chordata, Aves, Anseriformes, Anatidae. The record is from Ensembl.
ACCCUGGUUUCAGUAGCACCAUUUUUUUAAAGCAAAUGAACUUCUUUGUGAGUGCUGCAGAACAAGGGCUCAGGAGUGAGUCAGGUCCCUGAUCCAGGUACAGCUGUCAUCGUCCUACAUCCUUCCAGCCUCUGAGCACCUUCGGUGUAGGAAGCCCAUUAUUCAAAGUAAAAAUGUUCACAGCCACCUUCGAAGGCUCCUGGGGACAGAGAACACAGCACAUCGUAACAACAGCAACAGACUCAGCUGCGAAAGAUCUCUAUCACACAUCAGAGAGAAUUUGAGGCAGCUGGCAGUUAUCAGCUGAAGCAGUCUUUUUCUAUGCUGUGAUCCAGAUUUAACAAGAAAAAUGAAGAAUAACUUGUUCAGCUCAGUAUCCAGCCACAUAACUCUCUGUUACGGAGGCAUUCAUGUGGGAGGUAUAAACAAAGGUUCUGGACCAAUAGAAAAAAAAAAUCAAUUUGUUGGAGAUCAAAGUAUUGUGUGGCCUUGCACAAACAAUUUUCUUAGAACACAGGUAAGAAAAAGUAAAGGAGAUGGGCUAGUCGAGACGAGCCUGCUGAGAAAGUCAAGUAUUUCUUUCUACUGGAGUGUUAGAAUGUCCAGCUGUGCUGUGUACCUUCAGUUUACUUUUCAGUUAACCUCAGAGGAAUUAAAUCUUAAAUUUCUCUUAUCUUAACUGCCAUUAUAAAUGAUUUUAUAAGGACUAGAACAAUUCUGGCAGAAGUAACUUAAGUGUCAUCUUCCCUCUUGUCUGCAUUACCCUCAGAAUAUCUAUAACCUUGGGAGGAUGAAUUCAUUUAAAAUAUAAAAGAAACUGAUUCAGAUUCCUGCCCUCAAACAGAAAGGGAACAGAUCUGAGUUCAGAAAAUACCGUAAUAGGUGUGGAGCAUGCUAAGGAUGGAAAAUCUAUGGCUAAGAUAUCUGUAUGUUGGAGACACUGUUUUGUGUAAGAUGUCAUUACUGAGACAGAGAAAGCAAUUGCUUGUUUUGGGUUCAGGGAACCUUUCAGGAGCCACUGGAUUUAUAAGCACUAAUAUAAAACAGCUCAGUGAAAGUUAAAUAUGACCUCCUAUUUCUGCUUCAUAUUAUACUUCUGCUUCCUCUUGAAGUUGGGCUGCUAACCGAGGAUCUAGGAGAAAGUUGGGAAUGUAAGCAGGGACUGCCAAAUCUUGUAUAAAUAUCAGGAGCAUUAGUUUGAACACCUAUAAUGAUAACUCUACAUUUAUGUGUAAUGAAAUUUUCAAAAUUCUGGUAAUGUACACAUUUGUCUAGCACUUACAUCAUUUUGAAGUGACUGGAAAUGCAUUUAUUGAGGAAUUUACACUUGUAUCAUCAACCUUGCCAUCAUCUCUCCUCACCUCUGCUCAUAUGACAACAGCUUUAACUGCAGUCUUUCAAUGGAUAAGGAUGGAACAGAAUUAAGGGAUACUAUUGGGAAAACUUGGCACAAUGGAUAUGUUCAGUAUAGGACAGGUUUAAUUUUGCAUUGUGUUACUAAAUUACUGCAGUUACAGGAGGGGGGAGAGGAGCUAUUUCUUGUUUCUCAAAUUUACCAAAUGCUGGAAAUACAGUUUGUUUGUUUGUUUUCUUCAAGAAUUAACAUGCUUAUAUGAAGAUUUAAAAAAAAAAAAAGUUAAGAUGCUGUUGCAUUGCAAAUUUGAAACAUGCCUGUAUGAACAAGGACAAUUUGACAACAUGGCCAUCAUCCAUUCUUCUGUUCAUGAGGUUUAGUGACUUCCCUGACUGUUAUUUCCAUGUCAUGUCUCUGUGUAUUUCAUAGACUGAGUUAAGAGAUCUCAGUCAGAAUUUCAACAGGUUCUGUUCCCUACCACAUUAAUACUUACUCAAUACAAAACUCUCCCUUCUCUCUGUCCCACCUACACACACACACACAGAGAGAGAAAAUUAAGGAUAGGCAUUUUUGCAUAACCUGAUGGUUUAGAACUUUGUAGAUGGAAUUAGAGCCUGGUUUAGAUCAAAAUGAGUAAGAGGUAUUAAGAGUUCAUUUCCAUCUAUAAUGUUAUAUAAAGAUAUUUGUUUGAACUAAAAGAACAGCUGAUUAUGCAGUUUCAAGGUUUCUAGGGAAGUCAUAAAAGUGCCUUAGUGAGAACUUAAAAUUUUGUUUAGAGGAAGUGUGCAUUCACAGCACCACUAGAGGUUUGUUCUUUAUAGAUCUCAGAAACAGGAUAUGAAAGGGUAUCUUAGGCAAUCAAGUUCAAUCUCCUGCUAUUGCUGUCUAUGUUGUUAUAAAAUAAACUUUUCUUCCCAGAAUUCCUCA